CAAAAAGUCAAAAGUGGAAAAGAACGUGAAAGCGUGCUCCAGCCCGAAUUCCGGUUCCAAAAGGCCCGAUUCGCAGGCAAACACUGCGCGUAAAGCAGGCUGGUCAUUUCCCAUUGUUUAACUGCCCCACUCAAGUAAACCACAAAGACUCACAGAUGUUGCUUCGCAACAUCCGUGAGUCAAAAAGAGGCAUCCAACAUUGGCAGAUUUUAUAACAAAGUCAUCAUUAGUCAUACCAAUUGCCAAAACCUUGAUGUGUAAAGUUGUGUUUCAUUUAGCCAAGGCCCAAGUAUAGUUUGGACCCUAAGUUCUCANNNNNNNNNNNNNNNNNNNNNAAAAAAAAAAUAAAUAAAAAAUUGUAAACUAGUGAUAAUCUGUAAAGUUUGAGAGGGAAAUAAUUACCUGAUAAUCGCCACUGACAAAUCAGCCCCUCCCCCAAUGCAAAAUUGUUUCGUACGGUAGUGGUUCUAUCUCAAAAUCCUUGUUGGAAUUUACUUGUUUUGCAUUAUAUACUUUAUAAUAAUAAUAAUAAUAACAACUUUAUUUAUAACAGACAGCCUACAUCACUACUCAAGUGCUUUUCAGCAGGGCUCUGUAUAUUACAUUCCGU
This 610-nucleotide long non-coding RNA is filed under the name Paramuricea clavata. The record is from RNAcentral. Lineage: Eukaryota; Metazoa; Cnidaria; Anthozoa; Malacalcyonacea; Plexauridae.